ACUGUACUCCCAAAUAAACAUGGAAUUUCAAAAUGCUGGAAAAUAUAUGCUUUGAUAAUCUGGUAACAAUUAAUAAAUUGAUAACUGAAUUCUAAUUUAAUAAGACCUACAUUUUAUUUCUUCUAUUAACCUUUAAAAGAACGAAAACAAAGCACAAGGCAUAAUUUUCUGAUUCAAAAAAAAAAAAAAUUUUCAUCCAGACCAUGAAAUAAAAAAUUUUGAGUAGGGGCAAAUUUUGUGAGUCGGUCGCGUUACUGCAAACAAACAUUUUUUUAAGGAUGGCCUGAUGGGACUGAAAAUAGUUUUUCCAGAUAAAUGUACCAUUUAAUGUAGGGUUUAGACCACUAAUCUUUGUGCAAAAUUUCAGAUCAUUCCGGCACUGCUUUUUUCCAGAAUAAUUAUUCAAAUUGUAAAAAAUGACCUAAAAUGAAAAGCGUUUAAACACUGCUCACUCAAAUCGGGCUAAGAAAAUCAUAAAAUACCAUUUUUCAUUUAUUUCAAAGUAAAUUUCUAAGCUAUCUUUGCAUAUAUUCCUGUUCAAUUUAAGUACCCUGCUGAUUUAUGUAAGGAAUUCAAAUGUUAUGUUUUUAGGCUUUAAAACCUCAGUGGAGUCCCUUUAACUUCUAUAGCAACUAAUGACACAGAGAACAACCAUUUACUUUCCAUAGCAACCACUGUUUUCAAAAGGAACCGUUAACUUUCCAUAGCAACACGUGACUUUCAUAGCAGCAAUUGACAUUCCAUAGCAACCAUUGAUCCUAACAAAUUUUGACUUUACUUAGCAACCAUUGAUUUUAAUAGCAACAAAAAAGAGAAAAAAGUGGAGUGUUACAGGUCCCGCCUUGCAGUGACUUUUAUCUUAAAUGUACAAUAUUUGAGAUGCUUAUAUGAACUUCGUGAUAAUUAUCAGUUUAAGAUUAGAAUCUGCUUUUCAUUCAUAACUUGCAAAAUUUAUUGCUCCAUGUCAGUUAGAGCCUUUAUAAUCAAGUGAGCGACAUAAGGUUCAUCAUGACCUUCUUGUUCAUAUUUAACUAGAUUAGAAUAAGACAUUGUUCUGCAAAAUUUCCUCAUUAAUAAGAUACUUAUUAUGCGUUAAUCUUGUGUCUUAUUUCUCGUUUCAGCGGCCAUGGAUCAAAAUUGUUGUGAUGCAGAAUCUCUUGUGACAUUUUACAAUAUGGAUUUGUGUAGUUACAGAUUAUUUCGAGCAAUAAAAAAACCAUGUUCCUUUGUUGACAAGAAAAUCAGCUCGACAAUGAUUAUUAUGCUUCUACUAGAGUCCAAUAUGAAUACUUAACACCUGGUUCCUGGCUAUACAGAAACAUAUCCCAAAGAAAAAUGUUUAAAAACAGUGCAUCACCAAUACCUUGUACAAUCUUUUAGUUCCUAAAUGCUGAAACAAAGACAGACCAGCAAA
Molecule: long non-coding RNA, 1414 nt
Organism: Ruditapes philippinarum (Manila clam)
Lineage: Eukaryota; Metazoa; Mollusca; Bivalvia; Venerida; Veneridae
Exons: 2
Source: RefSeq, a predicted model, not a curated record